Molecule: non-coding RNA, 69 nt
Organism: Podarcis lilfordi (Lilford's wall lizard)
Lineage: Eukaryota; Metazoa; Chordata; Lepidosauria; Squamata; Lacertidae
Source: the annotation of a GenBank genome assembly
GCUGUGGUUUAGUGAUAAAGCAUCUGUUUUGCAUGCAGAAGGUCCCAGGUUCAAUUUCGGGCAUCUCCA